Molecule: long non-coding RNA, 1081 nt
Filed under: Astyanax mexicanus (Mexican tetra)
Lineage: Eukaryota; Metazoa; Chordata; Actinopteri; Characiformes; Acestrorhamphidae
Description: lncRNA (ENSAMXG00005023611.1)
Source: RNAcentral
ACUAAGUAUUUUUUGAGUAUGAAGUAUGUAAUGUAAACAAAUUUGAGUCGAAGUUGAGUAUACUCAAAUAAUUACGAUGCAUGAUUGGACCACCCAGACCAACAGGCUUUAUUACAGGCCCUCACAUAGGAGCACAGCUGAUCAGCAAGAGCCUGCAUUCACAGGCAAGAAAUAUAUAUCUACCCAUCCACUUCAUCAUACACUGGCCCCUGGCUGCAAACAUCCCCCCAUUCCACUACCACCCCCUUUCUGUCAAAGCUGAUUGUUUCCACGCCAGCAGAGGGCUGGGGGCUAGUUCACUGUCACACUACAUCAGGAAGGAUUGGGGGGGUAGAGGAGGCUAAAUUAGCAGCUAUGCUCGAGGAGUGAGGCGCAGCAGCGAGUCCCACGGCGGAGGGCUUCACCACUUCACACUUCACCUUCAGUCCCGCUUCUAAAACUGAGCGCUGAUGUCUGGAACAGAUACGUUGAAGUAACAGUGAUGUAAGUGACACAGCCUCUUUCAACCAGGGAACCUUACCUUGAAAAUAUAAUAUAUUGUUAAACAGAACCUUCGUCAAAUAAGACAAUUUUAAUUUCAGUUAAAAUGAUGUAUUAUUAUAGUGUUUUUCACAAAAAAAUAUUGUCAUAAAUCCACUUUUAAGUCAAAUGUAACAGUGGCAGGAAAAAAAAUUCAGAUCAAGGGAAUCAGCAGUAAACCAAUGCAAGGAUCCAGAGAAGAACAGCAUCACAGCAGGCAGCAGGUAGUGGGGAAACAGACAGAAAGAAAACAAAUGGAAGUAAAAGAAAGGGCCUAGGAGGAUUGUGGCAACACCGGUAAAUUGAUACAGCAGGAAGAGCCUCAUCCAGAGGUAGACAGACACCAGCACCCAACCACAAAUGCCCUUGCAGACUAUAAGGGUAGCUCUGGAAGUGGGUGACAAAGUAAAACAGGAAAAAAAAUAAGGUACUUUGGCUUAUAAACUGAUUGUUGAUUUUCUUUCAAAGUAAGUAAAAAAAGUGCAUGUUUUGUAUACAACUCAUAUUUAUUUUAUGAAUUUGGCAACUUGGAAAAUAAUAAACAUUACUUUUGCACAUGCCA